RNAcentral lists this unclassified non-coding RNA (169 nucleotides) under uncultured Orbiliaceae. RNAcentral's name for it is "sequence contains ITS2". Lineage: Eukaryota; Fungi; Ascomycota; Orbiliomycetes; Orbiliales. The record is from RNAcentral.
CAAACCGUUGACAUCAGUCAGUAUUGGGCCGGCUGCCCGAGCGAAAGCUCGCGCCGGCUUUAAAGUAGUACGCUUUGCCAACCGCCAUUCCAAGCCAAAAACAUAGUAAUCAUAACGCUUGUUGAGGAUGGAUGGACUUCUGGUUCGGCCUGAACAAAACCCACUCGUG